RNAcentral lists this ribosomal RNA (451 nucleotides) under Sutterella sp. Its description in RNAcentral is "bacterial SSU rRNA". It matches the Rfam family "Bacterial small subunit ribosomal RNA", at positions 68 to 512 of the family's 1533-position model. The record is from RNAcentral. Lineage: Bacteria; Pseudomonadati; Pseudomonadota; Betaproteobacteria; Burkholderiales; Sutterellaceae.
GGCAGCGCGGGAGCUUGCUCCUGGCGGCGAGUGGCGCACGGGUGAGUAAUGCAUCGGAACGUGUCUUCUUGUGGGGGAUAACUGUCCGAAAGGACAGCUAAUACCGCAUAAGACCUGAGGGUGAAAGCAGGGGAUCGCAAGACCUUGCGCAGGAAGAGCGGCCGAUGUCCGAUUAGCUAGUUGGCGGGGUAAAGGCCCACCAAGGCGACGAUCGGUAGCUGGUCUGAGAGGACGACCAGCCACACUGGGACUGAGACACGGCCCAGACUCCUACGGGAGGCAGCAGUGGGGAAUUUUGGACAAUGGGGGCAACCCUGAUCCAGCCAUGCCGCGUGCAGGAUGAAGGUCUUCGGAUUGUAAACUGCUUUUGUCAGGGACGAAAAGGGACGUGAUAACACCACGUUCUGCUGACGGUACCUGAAGAAUAAGCACCGGCUAACUACGUGCCAGC